This 406-nucleotide ribosomal RNA is filed under the name uncultured bacterium. RNAcentral's name for it is "partial 16S ribosomal RNA". It matches the Rfam family "Bacterial small subunit ribosomal RNA", at positions 29 to 526 of the family's 1533-position model. The record is from RNAcentral.
AGUGAACGCUGGCGGUAGGCCUAACACAUGCAAGUCGAACGAGUGGCGGACGGGUGAGGAAUACAUGGGAAUCUACCCUGUCGAGGGGGAUAACGUAGGGAAACUGAAGCUAAUACCGCAUACGAUUGGAUGAGCCGAUGUCGGAUUAGCUAGUUGGGGGGGUAACGGCCCACCAAGGCGACGAUCCGAAGCUGGUCUGAGAGGAUGACCGGCCACACUGGAACUGAGACACGGUCCAGACUCCUACGGGAGGCAGCAGUGGGGAAUAUUGGACAAUGGGCGCAAGCCUGAUCCAGCCAUACCGCGUGUGUGAAGAAGGCCUUCGGGUUGUAAAGCCCUUUUGUUGGGAAAGCGGUACCCACAGAAUAAGCACCGGCUAACUUCGUGCCAGCAGCCGCGGUAAUAC